UCGACGACACACGCUACAGGAGGCCUUCGGUGUUUAAAAAUUAGGCACAGUGAAUUGAAGUCACUGAGGAACAAGUGAGCUUUUUUGGUACUAGUAACCAUCACUUCCGAACCCUGGCCUGCAGCUAUAGAGCCCUUAGAUAAAACUAGUCAUCUUGUCAUUCACAAAGGAGAGCACACAGAUUGUGGUUUUUCUUAUCAGCAAUUCAAGUUAUUUGUAAACUCCAAAUCCUCCUAUUUCACUCAAUGGCCUAGACUUGGCCCAGGGUACCUACACAGUAAAAAAUGUAGUGUUAAUAUUUCAGAGUAAAGUUAUUUUAACCCAGAUAGAGUAUUUUCAACAUUUUUGGGAGUAAAGUUGCUCUAUCAGUGGAGUUAAAAGUGAGUGUAAAAUCUGCAGAAACACAGUGACAAGUUUAACUCUACAGCAGUGAUAAAUACCCGCCACAAAAAACAAAAAUGAAAAAAAAAUGAAAAAAACCCGCCAUUUUGCUGCUUGUCGUCAAACGGCACGCAUUUCGGUGGAUGGAUGAGAUCCCGAAAAGAGCAACGCAAAGCUACUGAUAUUGCUAGAUACACAAUGCUGUUGCGUGUUCAAUUCAAGGAAGAGCAGAAAUAUGUCAAGAUGUCUGAGCUGACAUUCAACGUUUUCUUGAAAGAAGGUGCCUCUCAAUCAUCAUGUCUGGGUACAUCUGAGGACACCGCCAUCCUGAAUUUCACGUUUUGGGACCCCAUUGAAGAAGAAGCCGCUGCAGAAGAAAGCCAGCCUAAAAGGCCAUGCCACAUUAACCUUGAGGCAAAUGCGGGAAGUGGUUGAAAUUGCUAAGUCAAAAGUCCAAUCUGAAUAUUGUUUCACCCUGGGAAGUAUUCUUUAGAUAAAAAAAAAUGUCCCAUCAUUAUUACAUAUGGUUUUACAAUAACCGAAAGCAUGUUUUAUUCCACCUAUAGCUGAUUGAAAAAAUCUUAACUUCUAAGCCUGGUGGUGAACGCAUCAUCCAAGAAUAUAGAAAAACUAAAUCCCUGACGGAUGCCACCAGAAGACAGAUGAUUAACAUACUUGCUGCUGAGAUGACAGAGAAACAUGGGACAUCCCCCUCCAAAAGUGUCAGAGUGAUGUAUGCACAGGGGAUAGUAGCUUUGUUUCCCUGUCUAGAAGACCCAUACUCACAACAUGGAUAUGAACAUUACUACGAUCCAGAGAGUGGUUUGGGAUAUCUUGCAUGGCGAUUAAAGACCAUACAAAGAAAAACAGCAGAGGAAAGAGGUGCCUCAAUCAGCAAAUCUCCUAAAGUUGGUGGGCCAGGUCGUGGUCAUCAGCCCUGUACCUUUGACAGAGAGCCAUCUGAUGAGGAUGUGGAAGCAGCUAUUUCUGUUUUGAGACACUCUGCUGAUGAAAAGACUGUCCGUGAGAAGAUGAAAGUGACCUUCAUAUAUCGGCAAGCAAUGUUCAACGAUGAAGCCAAAUCAUCAAAUUUCUUCUCUGUUCCACGAUUUCUGGACACACCGGGACUGAUAGAACAAGAUUUCUGUUUGGUGAGGCCACGGCCAACAAAUUCUUGGAGAAGUGGCCAACCACUUUUAAAGCAAAAGUAAUAAAAGAAAGCCAUGGACUUGUACCCACCACAGAACUCUUGGAUUUGAUGCGCAAUGCUGAGUCAGCUGCUGAAGUUGAGAAUGGCUGGGACAAUGAGAUGUCUGCCAUCUUGCUGCUGCUACAUUUGCUUCCACCAUCUGCCCAAGGAAGAAAGAGGCCGGGGAAGCUUUCAGUAUAUCAAGCUGUAGAUCAGCUCAUCAGAUUUCAAAAGGUUGGAAGCAGUGUGCAGCAGCAUCUAGACAACAUCACCAUAAGCAGUCAGCCCUACCUUCUUGCCCAGGGAUCCACACAGAGCACCAUUCACUCCUACUACAUUGUGGUUGACAAGCAUGCCCUUCCAUGCAAGGCAACAGGUUCAGUUGGAGCUUUUGACAAACUCUUUAAAGCCCAUUACGUCUUUGGUACCUCAUACAGUUAUUCCCUUGGCAGCUUUUUCACUUUUGUGCAAACAACCAUCUACAACAUCGACAUGGGGGAAACAAGAGACUCCUAGAGUUGCAGAGUUGAGGGCAAGAAUGUUGCGUUAGUUAAGAUAAAACUAUGAAGUGUUUUCUUUGCAAAAGUGACCAUGGAAGUCCAAGCAACCUUGUCAAGCACUUUAAGGUAAUUCAUGGGCUACGUACAGGCAGGACUCUUUUUCUGAAGUGUGGUCAAGAAGGAUGCUCACGUUCUUUUGGUAGUUUAUCAGGUUUAAGAAAGCAUUUUAAUAAGUGCCAUGGAAGCAGUUCAGUUGAUUCUGUAGAAAAUUAUCUUUCAUAUCCUCAAUGUACCGUCAAUACAAGUAAUGUUUCUCAUGUUGAAGAGUCGACUGAAUAUUUAGAUGCUGAAUCACAGUUAUCUUAGCCAUACAUUGUAAAUAGUUGUUCAGCUGUAAUUUCUGAUCUAAAGGCAGCAGGUGUUGGUCAAAGUACACUGAAUUCUGUAGUGAUUUCCAUGGAAGAGAUUGUUCAAGAUAUCCAUCAGCAUGCUAAAGAGACAGUGAUAACGCAUGUAUUUAGUAAUGAAAGAGAAACGGAAAUGUGCAAGAAAGUUGAGGCGUGUUUUGAGGGGUUAGAGAAUCCUAAAUUCGGAAUACAAGCGAUCAAAAUUUAUGACUGACAAGUGGGAAAUAGUAGAACCAGUUGAAUGUGUGAUUGGUUCAAGAUUUGACACAAGACGAAAUAAAAAGACUGGAACGUAUGAUCAGGUAGUAGUUCAAGAUAAAUUCAUGUAUAUUCCAAUUUUAUCUACACUGCAGUCAAUAUUUAAAAGUCAAUAUGUUGCAGAAAUGUUGCACAGCUCAGCUACCAGCGACUCUUUUAAAAGUCAACCCCUGUUCUCAACUGAGAAGCAGACAAUACAGAUCCAGAUGUUCUAUGAUGACUUUGAGGUCGCCAACCCUCUUGAUCCUAAGCGAGGUAUUCAUAAAUUGGGUGGAGUUUAUUUUACUUUAAGAAACUUCUCUCCAAAAUGGAAUUCUUUCUUAGCUAACAUACACCUGUGCGCCUUAUUUCAUACUCAAGAUGUUAAACGUUAUGGUUUUAGUGAAAUUUUUGCUCCCAUUGUUCGAGACAUUAAAGUGUUAGAGAGUGAUGGUGUUGAGAUUCCAUUAUACAAUGGCUAUGUUCGUGGCAUUGUAAUACAGGUUACUGGUGAUAAUUUGGGUUUGCAUAGUUUGUUUGGUCUGGUGGAGUCUUUCAGUGCAAGGUACUGUUGCAGGUUCUGUUUAGCGGAAAAGGAGGACUUUCAGACAGAAUUCUCUGAAGAUUCUUCCAACAUUUUAGUCGGUUAGACAUUGGUCCAGGAAAAAUUGUCUUUAAAUAUGGUAAAAGGAGGUUCUGAAAUUGCUAUGGCAAUGCAAGUGUCCAGUAGCAUUCAGGUAAUGAACAUAAUGGGUUUGUUUAUCGCCAAAACUUGGUUAUCUGUGGCAAAGUUGAAUCUGAAGUGCCUGUGUUUUAUCAGAUGGAGUCAGUUCUGAUAAUGUGUGAAAAACUGUUGCUUCUCACAAUGCCUUUAGGUACAGUAACAUUUCAAGAACAUUUCCAUGCAUAUGAGGUGAUCAGGACAAAGCAGGAUUUUGUUUUUUUUUCACGUCGACAACCUGCAUUACCCUAUGCCUUUUGACUUAAAAAUGUCAUAUGGAGGGAAUGACACAACUCUCUUUGUCGUGCCAUAUUGCUUUCUCUGGUAAACAUUUUGUGAUGUUCAUGGUGUUGUACAUGUUAUGUUUCUGUCAGAGACAAGGCAAUGUGUUUGCAAUGUAAAUUCAAUUACAUUGAAAUGCUUUAUUUAUUUAUUU
Esox lucius (northern pike) is the source of this 3871-nucleotide long non-coding RNA. RefSeq lists it as uncharacterized. The transcript has 9 exons. The record is from RefSeq and is a predicted model, not a curated record. Lineage: Eukaryota; Metazoa; Chordata; Actinopteri; Esociformes; Esocidae.